AACCUACUCCCGUAAUCCGGGAGAGGGACAUUGGUAGGCGGGUAGUUUGACUGGGGCGGUCGCCUCCUAAAUUGUAACGGAGGCGCUCGAAGCUUGGUUCAGGAGGUUUGGAAAUCCUCCUUCGAGUGCAAUGGCAUAAACCAGGUUAACUGCGAGACCUACAAGUCAAGCAGAUGCGAAAGCAGGACAUAGUGAUCCGGUGGUUCUGUAUGGAAGGGCCAUCGCUCAACGGAUAAAAGGUACGCCGGGUAUAACAGGCUGAUCGGAGCCAAGAGUUCACAUCGACGCUCCGGUUUGGCACCUCGAUGUCGGUUCAUCGCAUCCUGGGGGUGUAGAAGCUCCCAAGGGUUAGGCUGUUCGCCUAUUAAAGCGGUACGUGAACUGGGUUCAGAACGUCGCGAGACAGUUCGGUCCCUAUCUGUGGUGGCGUAGGAGAUUUUGGAGAGGGGCUUUGGCCGUAGUACGAGAGGACCCGGCUGAACAGACCUCUUGUGUUUCUGUUGUCACUCCAGUGGCACAGCAGAUUAGCG
Molecule: ribosomal RNA, 530 nt
Filed under: uncultured bacterium
Lineage: Bacteria
Description: bacterial LSU rRNA
Rfam family: Bacterial large subunit ribosomal RNA
Source: RNAcentral